This 1012-nucleotide ribosomal RNA is filed under the name Candidatus Yanofskybacteria bacterium RIFOXYC2_FULL_44_13. Its description in RNAcentral is "bacterial SSU rRNA". It matches the Rfam family "Bacterial small subunit ribosomal RNA", at positions 7 to 1053 of the family's 1533-position model. Lineage: Bacteria; Candidatus Yanofskyibacteriota. The record is from RNAcentral.
GAGAGUUUGAUUCUGGCUCAGGAUGAAUGCUGGCGGCGUGGAUAAGGCAUGCAAGUCGAACGGUGCAGGGUAGCAAUACUUUGCAUAGUGGCGAACGAGUUAGUAACACCUUGGUACAUACCUCGAAGUCGGGCACAACUAGUCGAAAGAUUAGCUAAUUCCCGAUAGUCCCGAAAGGGUAAAGUCGCAAGACGCUUUGAGAGUGGCCUAGGUCCUAUCAGCUUGUUGGCGGGGUAAAAGCCCACCAAGGCUAUGACGGGUAGGGGGCGUGAGAGCGCGACCCUCAACGACGAAACUGAGAUACGGUUCGUACACCUACGGGUGGCAGCAGUCGAGAAUAUUCGACAAUGGGCGAAAGCCUGAUCGAGCGACGCCGCGUGCGGGAAGAAGUCCUUAGGGAUGUAAACCGCUUUUGUUAGGGAAGAAUUUUGACGGUACCUGACGAAUAAGGGGUUGCUAACUCUGUGCCAGCAGCAGCGGUAAUACAGAGACCCCGAGCAUUAUCCGGAAUUACUGGGCGUAAAGAGCGAGUAGCCGGUUGUAUUAGUCUGAUGUUAAAUCCCAAGGCUUAACUUUGGGACCGCGUCGGAAACGGUACGACUAGAGCAGCUGAGAGGUAAGCGGAACGUGCAGUGUAGGGGUGAAAUCCAUUGAUAUUGCACGGAACACCAAAAGCGAAGGCAGCUUACUGGCAGUUUGCUGACGGUCAAUCGCGAAAGCGUGGGGAUCAAAAAGGAUUAGAUACCCUUGUAGUCCACGCCCUAAACUAUGCACAUUAGCUAUUGGGAGCAUCGACCCUUCCAGUGGCGUAGCCAACGCGUUAAAUGUGCCGCCUGGGAAGUACGAGCGCAAGCUUAAAACUCAAAGAAAUAGGCGGGAAUUCGCACAAGCAGUGGAUCAUGUGGUUCAAUUCGACUCUAACCGAGGAACCUCACCAAGGUUUGAAACUCAGCUGCAUACUCUGGAAACAGAGUAGCCUUCGAGGGUGCUGAGCAGGUGCUGCACGGCUGUC